RNAcentral lists this ribosomal RNA (398 nucleotides) under bacterium enrichment culture clone ALO1_GLFRUDD03FQW6U. Its description in RNAcentral is "bacterial SSU rRNA". It matches the Rfam family "Bacterial small subunit ribosomal RNA", at positions 9 to 407 of the family's 1533-position model. The record is from RNAcentral. RNAcentral also lists the same sequence under 6 other names.
GAGUUUGAUCUUGGCUCAGAUUGAACGCUGGCGGCAUGCCUUACACAUGCAAGUCGAACGGCAGCACGGGAGCUUGCUCCUGGUGGCGAGUGGCGAACGGGUGAGUAAUGCAUCGGAACGUAUCCUGGAGUGGGGGAUAACGUAGCGAAAGUUACGCUAAUACCGCAUAUUCUGUGAGCAGGAAAGCGGGGGACCUUCGGGCCUCGCGCUCUUGGAGCGGCCGAUGUCGGAUUAGCUAGUUGGUGAGGUAAAGGCUCACCAAGGCGACGAUCCGUAGCAGGUCUGAGAGGAUGAUCUGCCACACUGGAACUGAGACACGGUCCAGACUCCUACGGGAGGCAGCAGUGGGGAAUUUUGGACAAUGGGGGCAACCCUGAUCCAGCCAUGCCGCGUGAGUG